RNAcentral lists this ribosomal RNA (253 nucleotides) under uncultured bacterium. RNAcentral describes it as "partial 16S ribosomal RNA". It matches the Rfam family "Bacterial small subunit ribosomal RNA", at positions 524 to 776 of the family's 1533-position model. The record is from RNAcentral.
UACGGAGGGUGCAAGCGUUGUUCGGAAUUAUUGGGCGUAAAGGGCGUGUAGGCGGCCUCAUAAGUCUGAUGUGAAAGCCCCGGGCUCAACCCGGGAAGUGCAUUGGAAACUGUGAGACUUGAGUACGGGAGAGGGCAGUGGAAUUCCCAGUGUAGGAGUGAAAUCCGUAGAUAUUGGGAGGAACACCGGUGGCGAAGGCGGCUGCCUGGACCGAUACUGACGCUGAGACGCGAAAGCGUGGGGAGCAAACAGG